GGAGUGAGUGUCUGUAUUACUAAGCAGAGUCGUGUCCGAAACGCAGCCAACACUGUGGUUAAAGUCAAACAGGUGCUGGGGAGGAGCUUUGAGGAUCCUGAGGCGCAGACGCAUAAAGCUGAGAGUAAAUGUCCUUUGGUCAACAAGGGAGAGAAGCCAAUGUAUUGAGAUGACUGGAGAGACGACCAGACAAGUGGCUCCACAAGAUGUCGCCAAACUCAUCCUACACAAGAUGAA
Salvelinus sp. IW2-2015 is the source of this 237-nucleotide long non-coding RNA. RefSeq lists it as uncharacterized. NCBI's taxonomy places the organism in Eukaryota, Metazoa, Chordata, Actinopteri, Salmoniformes, Salmonidae. The record is from RefSeq and is a predicted model, not a curated record.